CUGAUGUCUUCUUCUCUCAACAGGUGGAGGUGGACUUAGUGAAGCUGAGUGUGAAGAGGACAGUGUGUGUGGACGGAGGCUGAGCUGUGUCCUGAGGAUCCAGAGGCUGAAGCAGCAGCAGCUUGUGUGUAGAGCGGCUCUGACUGGGCCUUGUUGCUGGGAGGCAGAGUGGAGACAGAGCUCCAGAGGAAUCAGAGGAGAUUUCAGAAGUCGUGCACAAAUACAGACGAAAUGAACGAGUGUGAUCAGAAGGCUUCGUCCAUUUCUGUGUCUGACGGUGUGGACCCUGAUCUGUGGUCAGAUGUUCAUCAGCCUCGGCUUCAAAACUCACUCUCUCCCCUGGACUCAGGGAAACAUCGACGACCACGAUGGAGCAAACGUGAAGCCGAUGAUCCAUCGACAGCACGAAGACAAAAACCUGCGUCAACUUUAACGUCAUCCUUUGUUUGAAAGAGAUCAAAGCCAAGACUGGAAGUUAGGUUUCUGACCUGCAGCAGAUACGCAAACAUACAACACAUGUGAUGCCAGGAAUCUCUGUUUGUUGUCAUGCAAAAGGUCCUUACUGCUGUCGCACCGCAUCACAACACAUCAUAUCACAUGACAUAGCAUAGUUGGCAUUGUAUUGUAUCGUAUCGCAUCGUCUUUUGUGUCUUCCCCGUGUGAGAGAAUCCAACGGUUGUGUUGAUAUUCACUGAAUUUGUUGUGAAAAUUUAAGAUGCUGCUGUGACUGAACUUUUAACCAGAGGUGAACUGUGCCCCUCUCGAUGCUAGGUCUUCAAUGCUAAGCUAAGCUAACCAUCCUUCUCACUUUCAGAAAGAAAGAAAGAGAAAGUAAUUUUUCCUUCACUCUCUAGGAUGUAAAACACGACGGAUCCAGUAAUGCAGUCCACUAAAUCGACUUUUGUGUCAGUAAGCCAAUCAGAGGCCGAGUAGGGCGGGUCAUAUCUGUGUUGGUCUCCCUGGUGAAAGAUAUCACCGUCCCUUUGCCUGAUCUCCCGAUUAGCAGAAUCCAGCUCUGCCU
This is a long non-coding RNA of Pleuronectes platessa (European plaice), 1021 nucleotides long. RefSeq lists it as uncharacterized. The record is from RefSeq and is a predicted model, not a curated record. The transcript is spliced from 3 exons. Lineage: Eukaryota; Metazoa; Chordata; Actinopteri; Pleuronectiformes; Pleuronectidae.